Molecule: long non-coding RNA, 259 nt
Organism: Thalassophryne amazonica
Lineage: Eukaryota; Metazoa; Chordata; Actinopteri; Batrachoidiformes; Batrachoididae
Exons: 3
Source: RefSeq, a predicted model, not a curated record
UUAAGAUGUACGAUCCAUGUGAAUGAGCAUUAAUAGACAGGAGCUGCAGCCUUGUUGCCAUGAUCAAAACCACCGUGACCAUAGGUCAUUAUUUUAAAGUCUCACAAAGCCUUAUCUCUGUGGAAAUCCUUUAAAUGUCAUUUCUAAAAUGCCGUGACUGCCCAUCUGACAAGUAGGCAUGUCGUACAGUACUGCAUGACUACAGUUGGACCUACUUGGCCCAUCCUUUUUUUAAAACUUCUGCACUGUUGAAAGAAAC